AUUUUGAUUUAUUGCAGCCCGUUUACAUUUGGCCCACCUGCUGAUCUCAGAAGCUAAGCAGGGCUGGGUCUGGUUAGUACUUGGAUGGGAGACCGCUGGGAAUCCCACAGUGGGCCAACAGU
This 122-nucleotide ribosomal RNA is filed under the name Periophthalmus magnuspinnatus. The record is from RNAcentral. Lineage: Eukaryota; Metazoa; Chordata; Actinopteri; Gobiiformes; Gobiidae.